Molecule: non-coding RNA, 468 nt
Organism: Struthio camelus australis
Lineage: Eukaryota; Metazoa; Chordata; Aves; Struthioniformes; Struthionidae
Source: RefSeq, a predicted model, not a curated record
AGGUUGUACUGAAUAGUGCAAAUCUGCACCCUAAUGAUAUACACUGUCCCCAGACACUAAUACCUACGUUUUUAAUUACACUGACCUCUUUCUUUGUAGAGAGCUUCUGAACAAAGAGCAGCUUUUAUGACUGUUCAGAAAGUCGAUGAAGUCUCCAAUAGCCACCAACCAUAGAGGAGUUCGGCUGCUGGCUGGAAAACGCUCAGCUCUCUGAAUUGUUCCCCGGGCUACUGCAGGAGCUUGGGAAGAAGCUGAAACUGGAGGUGCAAAUUUCUGGGAAAAGGAGUCAUCUGUUACCCACGGAGGGCGGCUUGCAGGCUCAGCAUUGGCAGGGGUGUAGGAAUGAACCGGUGCUGGUGCUGUUUUAAGUAUCCCAAAAGAAACCAAAAUUGAAGUCACCUUACCUGGCUGGUAGACAGAGGGUUUUAUGCUGGCAGUAGUGACAACCCUUGGUUUUGAAGCAGCAGC